Schistosoma mansoni is the source of this 46-nucleotide non-coding RNA. NCBI's taxonomy places the organism in Eukaryota, Metazoa, Platyhelminthes, Trematoda, Strigeidida, Schistosomatidae. The record is from Rfam.
AUCCAGCUGACGAGUCCUAAAAAAGGCCGAAACGUAUGUCCUGGAU